Aquila chrysaetos chrysaetos is the source of this 224-nucleotide long non-coding RNA. RefSeq lists it as uncharacterized. The transcript is spliced from 3 exons. NCBI's taxonomy places the organism in Eukaryota, Metazoa, Chordata, Aves, Accipitriformes, Accipitridae. The record is from RefSeq and is a predicted model, not a curated record.
AUCGAGGCUACAAGGGAGAUUUCUUCCAGAGAGAGGAUAGAGUUAUUAAGUCUAAAGUCCAUUAUUUGUUUUUGUCCUUCAUAAAAAGAUGGUCCUGACUCUGGGUGGGUCUAACAAGGAUCCUGGAACUCCAGGGGUAUUGUUUAAUUCUUACCAGAUUUGAUCCUGGCUUUAAAUCAAUUCUCACAGGUUCUGCUUUUUGGAUUUACCGGGAACUUCCUAGU